UUGCAGCGAUAAAACAAAGAAGAAAAAGAAGGAUCAGACAGAUUGCUUUUAGGGGGUGUUGUCAUUGACACACGUGUUCACAAAACAGCCUGUUUCCACACAUCUUUACAAUUCAUAGCCUGUUUUCUCUACGCACAACAACAACUUUGGUCUGUGUUGAACAUAAAAAGGUUCCGGAUUCCCA
Long non-coding RNA from Etheostoma spectabile (orangethroat darter), 184 nucleotides. RefSeq lists it as uncharacterized. The record is from RefSeq and is a predicted model, not a curated record. NCBI's taxonomy places the organism in Eukaryota, Metazoa, Chordata, Actinopteri, Perciformes, Percidae. The transcript has 3 exons.